RNAcentral lists this ribosomal RNA (440 nucleotides) under uncultured bacterium. RNAcentral describes it as "SSU rRNA". It matches the Rfam family "Bacterial small subunit ribosomal RNA", at positions 26 to 518 of the family's 1533-position model. The record is from RNAcentral.
AGGAUGAACGCUGGCGGCGUGCCUAAGACAUGCAAGUCGAGUGGGUUUAGGCCCACGGCGAACGGGUGAGUAAUACCUAGGAACUUUUUUCAAGUCGAGGAUAUCCUUCCGAAAGGAAGUGCAAUACUUGAUGUGGCAGCAAUGCUAAAGGAGCAAUCCGCUUGAAGCGAGGCCUGGGCACCAUCAGCUAGUUGGUAAGGUAAUGGCUUACCAAGACUUUGACGGUUAGCGGAUCUGAGAGGAUGGCCCGCCACACUGGGACUGCGACACGGCCCAGACUCCUACGGGAGGCAGCAGUUUGGAAUUUGGUCAAUGGGGAAACCCUGAACCAGCGACGCCGCGUGGACGAAGAAGGCCUUCGGGUCGUAAAGUCCUUUAGCAGGGAAAAUUUUGAUUGUACCUGCAGAAUAAGAGGUUGCUAACUCUGUGCCAGCAGCCGC